Molecule: unclassified non-coding RNA, 248 nt
Filed under: Hevea brasiliensis (rubber tree)
Lineage: Eukaryota; Viridiplantae; Streptophyta; Magnoliopsida; Malpighiales; Euphorbiaceae
Source: RNAcentral
AUCCUACUGCAAUUGAGGGACCUGUACAGUCUGCUGUAGGUCCAGAUGGAAAGAAGAAAGAACCUGAGAAUAAUGUACUUCUUGCAUCCAUAGAGAACAUGCAGUAUGCUGUAACAGUUGAUGUUCUUCAUACGGUAUUUUCUGCAUUUGGUAACGUCCAAAAGAUUGCUAUAUUUGAGAAAAAUGGUGGAACACAAGCUCUAAUUCAGUACCCUGAUGUUGCAACUGCAGCAGUAGCCAAAGAAACU